CACAGCUUGUCGGGGUGCUAAUAGUCGUUUAUUCGAUUGUCUUAGCUGAGAAUUUACCCGUUGAACCUGUUGGGUUAAUACCUGCGGAGGGAACAAGAUCGGCGCAUCA
Molecule: non-coding RNA, 109 nt
Filed under: Sinobacterium norvegicum
Lineage: Bacteria; Pseudomonadati; Pseudomonadota; Gammaproteobacteria; Cellvibrionales; Spongiibacteraceae
Description: TPP
Rfam family: TPP riboswitch aptamer (THI element)
About the family: Vitamin B(1) in its active form thiamin pyrophosphate (TPP) is an essential coenzyme that is synthesised by coupling of pyrimidine and thiazole moieties in bacteria.
Source: RNAcentral